RNAcentral lists this ribosomal RNA (362 nucleotides) under uncultured bacterium. RNAcentral describes it as "bacterial SSU rRNA". It matches the Rfam family "Archaeal small subunit ribosomal RNA", at positions 339 to 701 of the family's 1478-position model. The record is from RNAcentral.
GCGCGAAAACUUUACAAUGCUGGCAACAGCGAUAAGGGAACCUCGAGUGCCAGGUUACAAAUCUGGCUGUCGAGAUGCCUAAAAAGCAUUUCAUAGCAAGGGCCGGGCAAGACCGGUGCCAGCCGCCGCGGUAACACCGGCGGCUCGAGUGGUAACCGUUAUUAUUGGGUCUAAAGGGUCUGUAGCCGGCCGGAUAAGUCUCUUGAGAAAUCUGGCAGCUUAACUGUCAGGCUUUCAGGAGAUACUGUCUGGCUCGAGGCCGGGAGGAGUGAGAGGUACUUCAGGGGUGAGGGUGAAAUCUUGUAAUCAUUGAGAGACCAACAGUCGCGAAGGCGUCUAUCCAGGACGGACAUGACGGCAAG